RNAcentral lists this ribosomal RNA (497 nucleotides) under uncultured bacterium. Its description in RNAcentral is "partial 16S ribosomal RNA". It matches the Rfam family "Bacterial small subunit ribosomal RNA", at positions 28 to 507 of the family's 1533-position model. The record is from RNAcentral.
GAUGAACGCUGGCGGCGUGCCUAAUACAUGCAAGUCGAGCGAACGGACGAGAAGCUUGCUUUUCUGAUGUUAGCGGCGGACGGGUGAGUAACACGUGGAUAACCUACCUAUAAGACUGGGAUAACUUCGGGAAACCGGAGCUAAUACCGGAUAAUAUUUUGAACCGCAUGGUUCAAAAGUGAAAGACGGUCUUGCUGUCACUUAUAGAUGGAUCCGCGCUGCAUUAGCUAGUUGGUAAGGUAACGGCUUGCCAAGGCAACGAUGCAUAGCCGACCUGAGAGGGGGAUCGGCCACACUGGAACUGAGACACGGUCCAGACUCCUACGGGAGGCAGCAGUAGGGAAUCUUCCGCAAUGGGCGAAAGCCUGACGGAGCAACGCCGCGUGAGUGAUGAAGGUCUUCGGAUCGUAAAACUCUGUUAUUAGGGAAGAACAUAUGUGUAAGUAACUGUGCACAUCUUGACGGUACCUAAUCAGAAAGCCACGGCUAACUACGUG